CCUGGCUGGCGAUUCUCUCCAGUCAUAUCCCAUAUCUACAGGAAGGGGAGCAUGAACCUUCGGCAGGCAGCUGCCCUUUGUUACCUUAGACAUCCAAGCCUUCUGGUGACAGUAGUGCAUUAACACAGCGACACCUCGCUGAAAGCGGCCCAGGGUUUGCUGGUUCAGAUCCCGGUGCAGACAUGGCAUCGCUUGGCAAGCCAUAUUGUGCAGGGAAGAGAAGGAUUGUUACUGCCCAAAGUGAGUCGGCUGCCUGCUGCAAGACGUGCCAGUAGCCAAAGAGGCAAGAUGGUGGAAGAGAAGGGACUUUAUUACAGCUUGCUAGUAAGGGGG
This 333-nucleotide long non-coding RNA is filed under the name Equus caballus (horse). RNAcentral's name for it is "lncRNA (ENSECAG00000049431.1)". Lineage: Eukaryota; Metazoa; Chordata; Mammalia; Perissodactyla; Equidae. The record is from RNAcentral.